Molecule: long non-coding RNA, 644 nt
Organism: Panicum virgatum (switchgrass)
Lineage: Eukaryota; Viridiplantae; Streptophyta; Magnoliopsida; Poales; Poaceae
Exons: 2
Source: RefSeq, a predicted model, not a curated record
CGACCCUGCAGAUUACAUGAUCUACAUCAGUGGGUAUGAUACGUUCAGGGAACUUUCAUCACUUGGUCAGAGUACAAAAUUCUACUACCUUGGUAAUGCUGACAAGUACGUCAUCAAAACAAUGAAGAAACCAGAAGUUGAGUAUUGCUUCGGGUCAACGGCCGAUAUGGAGUUGGGAUCAUAUUGCAUGGAUUUGUAAGCAUGCUCAAGCUUCUUACUAAUAUCAUAAUCUUGUAGUAUGUCAAUGAUUCCAAAGAACAACACGACAUCUUGGAAUUCCCCUGUGGGCUCACCAAGGAACGGAGAUUCACUAUCAGGAUUCUUCGCAACGUUCUCCACCCUUGAGGGCAUGCAAAUUCCUAAUUUUAAUGGUGUUUUCCUGCUUAAAUCACAAGUAGUAUAUAGGUUAGUCCUCAGAGGUCAAUGUCAGAGUGAAUGCAAUGGUUAAAGUCGAUGUAGUAAGCAAGCUAUGCUGAAACAGAGACAAACUGUCAUGUUCUGCAUCUGGUGAAAUUAAGGCUUCUCAGUUGGAGAUUGAAAGCACCGGUGUGAUAUGUUAGAUACUUCUUAUCUCUUCACCAUAAACAAUAUAUAUUGUGUAUGCUAAUAUAAGGUGAAAAUUAAUCUCAUCAUAAUUUUGUUCA